CGCCGCCGCUGCAGCGGCCGCCGAGCGUCCCUCCCGCAGGCUGUGGCGGGCGGCGGGACGGGUUGCAUCAGCCCCGGCUAUAUAGCGGCCCCUGGGCGGCGGGGAGGGGUCGGGAAUGCGGAACCCGCCGAGCUGCCAGCUCCAGACGUCAGAGGGGGGACGGAGAGGAAGGGAAGGAGGGGACAGGGGAGAGCGGGGGGUGUGGAUCCGGCGCUUCACACCCACUGACCUUCACCUCCCCCGCCGCCUUUCGCGCCCUCCUCCUGCCGCUCCUCGCGCUGCGCUCCCGGCCCGGCCGGGCCCGGCCCCGCGGCGGCCGCCGGGGCUGCAUCGCGCUGCGCGGCUCUCCCGGCCCGCGGUGCAGGCGCGCGCGAGAAAGCAGGACGCGGCGAGCGGUUAUGGUCACCAAGUGAGCAGAGCCAGCCCUCCGCAGACCCCCCAAGGGCCUUGUCACCACGGCGACUUCGGCAUCUGGGGCCCCACCUUCUCGCCGUCCUAAGAGGCAGCUGGGGAAGCAGGAUUCCAGAGGAAAUACGACGCUAGAGUUCCCUCCAGGGGGUACAGGUGCAAAGACACAGCAGCCCGCAGGCAGAAAUGUGGCCCGGGACCGCGGCACCGUGGCGGCCUCUCCCAUCUCCAGACCCCCUGGUGCCAACCACCCCCUGCCUUUCUGCCUGAGCCAAGGAGGGGUUGGUGAUGUUAUCCACAGUGACCUUCAGCUUCCUUCUCAGAGCGAUGUCAGGUCAUCACCCAGAGAAGAAAGGAAGUGAAAGAAAAAGAUCAUGCCUUCUUGGAGUGCAGAUGCUCAGAGUGAAAGAAACGGCAAGACUUGAGGCAGAUGGGUGCGAGUGAGCCAGGCGGGGGCCCCUGUCCCUUCAGUGAGAGGACAGUCAGGUUUUACUCUCCUCCUUCCCCAAGGCAGUGACCGCUCUCCGGAUAAGAGGAUUGACCUCUCCUGACCAUCUUCACCUUCAAGGCCCCAAAAGAAUAACCUCCAUUGGAAAGUGAGUAGUAAUUUGGAAGUCUCGUGCUCAGCCCAAAAAGGCCAACUUACACUUUUACUGCAGUAUAAAGAUCAAAGCCUUAUGAUGUUCUGUGUGUCGUCCUCCCACCCCGAGACUAAGGGCUGGAUGUUUAUAUGGAAGAAAAUACUGAACAGGGGGAACUCUGCUUCAUGCGUCUUCAGUUGGGACUUUGAAACAGCUAAACUACUCUAUGUGCAGGAACUAAUAAUUGGGUGUGUGGUGAGAGCAGGUCCUCUCCAGGACCUAUUUUAGACCAUGCCAGGGCCACCAACAAGUCUACUGGGCCUUUGCCUUCCCCAGCACAAAGUAAAUAUGCUACAGGGGUGGUCGGUGGGGGCACCAAGGAAUGGCUUGGGAGUCUUUAUUUUUAUUUAUUUUUAAAUUAUUUAUUUUUAUUACGUUCAGAAAAUAUGAGGUCCCCAUAUACUCCCUACCCCCCUCACCUCACUCCUCCCCGCAUAGCAACAACCUCCUCCAUCAUCAUGAGACAUUCAUUGCAUUUGGUGAAUACAUCUCUGAGCACCGCUGCACCUCAUGGUCAAUGGUCCACAUCAUAGCCCACACUCUCCCACAUUCCAUCCAGUGGGCCAUGGGAGGACAUACAAUGUCCAGUAAUUGUCCCUGCAGCACCACCCAGGACAACUCCAAGUGGCUUGGGAGUCUUUAGCCCCCUCCAUCUUCUGUAAUAUGGGUUGGGCCUCCCCCAUUAUUUGAUAUGGAUGUUUUUCAAUGUUACGUAAAAUGCUAUGCAAACACAGCUUGGCGACCUUCCUUCCAACCCUCUACCAGGCCCCUCUCUAUAAUCACUGCACUGGGAGUGGCUGCAGGUAGAGCCUGUUACUGACUCCUUUAUGGAGAGACUGGCUUGCUUCUUCCUUCGUUGCUGGAUGGAACCCAUCUACCCCUAGCUCUAGGGACAAACACGUGACCCAGCCCUGACCAAUAACUACAUUCCAUCCCCAGUUCUAGUGGGACUAAUUCAGAGAUCGCCACGAUUCCCAAGUAAAUCUGAUGAGACUGAAUUCUAGGAAUCUGGGGCAUCUGCUGGGAAGAGAGAAUCUCUUCCCACUGGACCUGAAGCUGCUGGAAGCUGCCACGUGGAGCAGGUCUAUUUGAGCACGACACCAAUGCAGAGAAGAGUAGAGAACAGUAGAGCCCAGCAAGAGAGGGAAGACAGAUCAAAGCCUGAGGACAUUGUCUGAGUUCCUGAAGCCAGCUUUGCCUAAUAUAAUUACUAUCUGUGGAGUUUUUAGCUACAGGAAUUGGUAAAUUAUGUCUUGCCUACAGCAGUUUGAAUUUAAGUUUCCGUUUACUUGCAGCUAGUAAAGUCCUGAUUAAGACACAGCAUUUUGCAUCUCUAGCUUAUUUGGACUAUUAUAUUUUAAAGUUUAAUGGACAUUGAUGAUCCCAAGCUCUUUGCCAAGAGGGAAAAGUGAAAUGGCGAAGUAAAAUAAUUAAUUCCCCAGGCCUCUUCCUUUAGUAUCAAAGGAGAAAGUGACAAUUCUGAGUAACCAACUAACCACCUUGUAUUUGUACAAUAUUGGUUGAAAAUCUAUUGUGUCUGGAACCAAGAGAUACACAAAAUUUAAGGCGUGAUUCCUCAUCUGUCCUCACCUCCCAUCUAAUUAGGGUUGAUAAACUUCAGCACUGGUGAACAAGACCAGAGGGUAAUUAGAAACUAGUUAUGUGCACGAUAUAAAAAUCGUUUGUUAAUGGCUCCAUUCUCUACUUGGUUAAACUUUGUAGACCAAAAAUUACAAACAAAUAGUUGGAAGACUGAAUUUGGUUUUGCUGACUCAACCUAAAACUUUUUUUUUUAGGGGGUAAUGGGGAUUGAACCCAGGCCUUGUACAUGGGAAGCAGGGACUCAACCACAGAGCUACAUCAACUCCCCAAACUUUUUUUUUAAAUAUAUCAAAGAUUUUACACAAAAAUCUGGAUUUCCAUCCUCCCUUGGAAAAAAAUCAAAGUCAGGCCACAUUGGACAUAUGGAAUAGUCCAGACAAGCUAGGUUGUGCUACGUUAACAAUCAUCCCCAAAAACUCAGCGGCUUAACACAAGAAAGGUUUCUUUCUCACUCACAUAAGACAGCUGUGGGUGUCAUAUGCCUUUCCAGGGCACCUACAGGUCAUAGCUCAGUAUCGUCCCUCCAUAUCAACAAAUGCACCCAAGGUCUCCAUGACAGAGAAAGAAAGCAAAACAGAGAGAGCCAAGUACAAGUCGUUAAAGGUUUCCAAUCCUGGAAUGACACACGUCACUUUAGUUCAUAUUCGAUUGGCCAAAGCAAGUCACAUGGCAGUUCCUAAUUUAAAAGGGUCAAGGAAGUUCAGUCUUCUCAUGCACUAUGAAGAAGAAGGGAACUAUGUAUUAGGGAAUCAUUAACAUCUGCCACAGAAUGCUCUCUUCUGGCAACAGUGAGCUAGAACCAUGAGAAGCUGCUCCCUUAAAUAGGACUUAAACAGUCCAGUUAGACACAGUGUCCAUUCACCCUGCUUCAUAGGUUUAUGUGGGCUCUCUGGCACCUGGAAGCACUGCAUUUUGCAUUUGCUGAUAUUGACAAAGCCAAGUUCAAUAUCAGUCCUACAGGUGUCCCUGGUGAUCCAUGGAAUUAUCAUGAUUUUUCCAAAAACAGUUCAUUUUGAUUUGCUAAUUUAAACAAACGUGUGCUAUAGAGAACUCUUAGGAUGAAGAGCAGGAUGGUCUCAGGAAAUCAAACAAGGAGGAGCUGAGACUAACUGCAGUAUAUCCUGCAAAUUACACGUACCUGUUUAUUAUGGGUUCUUCCUUCUGCUCUUCCCUUGAUCAAUCACACAGCUACCUGGAAAGACCAGGAGAAAAGACCCUCCCACUUACUUACUCUCUUCCUGAGGGAGGUGGGGAGAAGAUACAUGGUGGUGAUUUGGGGGAGUAGGCUGUUUGAAAUCGCAUGGAUUAGAUAGAUAGCUGUUCAAGGCUG
Molecule: long non-coding RNA, 3981 nt
Organism: Dasypus novemcinctus (nine-banded armadillo)
Lineage: Eukaryota; Metazoa; Chordata; Mammalia; Cingulata; Dasypodidae
Source: Ensembl